RNAcentral lists this small RNA (31 nucleotides) under Chaetoceros debilis. Its description in RNAcentral is "partial Mitochondrion-encoded tmRNA". Lineage: Eukaryota; Bacillariophyta; Thalassiosirophyceae; Chaetocerotales; Chaetocerotaceae. The record is from RNAcentral.
AUUUAGAAAUAUGGUUACUAGACAUUAUGAG